UACACCAAAAGUCAGGAUCUAUUUUCCGUAAGCUCAAUCGGCACCUCGUGGUUUGACUUAAACAUCGUAGUGUAUUGUUCUUUCUCAGCAGUUGAAACAGUUCGAAUAUUUCAUCAAGGCUUAAUUUGACGUUUUUUGUUGGCAGGUCCUACAGGCGGACAUCAAGUCGAAAGAUCGGUCGAUCAAGGCGCUGGUUGAGUUGGGGCGUCGGGCGAGCAACCCCCAUCCAAGCGGAACCCCUACGCGCGGCUCGAGAGGCGCUGGCUCAACUUCCAGCUCUUCGUCAUCGAGUGCCAGUGCCGCGUCGAGGAUCGACAGCAAGUUCUCAGCAAACAGAGCCAAACGAGUUCUGUGGCGUCUAGCGAAUGCAGUGACGAUGAGCCUGUGAACAAGCUGUCUCGACUUUCGACGAGUCCCGGCGCGAGCCAUGUGUCCACCCCCUUCAAAUCGCACAAGUCCAACAUUCUUGUAGAGGAUGUGGAUGGUAGUUUAAUGGAUACUUCUAGUCACGGAGAGACUUCAGUGGCAUCUCCAACUUCGAACCAUUUUAGUAAACUUAAUUCUAGGCACCCUUUCAAUCAAACGAUGAAUGCUGUCUACUCAAGUGGGCUCACCGUCAAUGGGUAAAUUUCAUAUAAUUCUCUAUUUUAUUUCUCAACACCGAUAGAUGAUCUGCAAUUUCUCCUUACAAAAAUCUAUAAAAGCACAUUUG
This 712-nucleotide long non-coding RNA is filed under the name Bemisia tabaci. RNAcentral's name for it is "lncRNA ENSSSA2NGG014223". Lineage: Eukaryota; Metazoa; Arthropoda; Insecta; Hemiptera; Aleyrodidae. The record is from RNAcentral.